UUAGUGGCGGACGGGUGAGUAACACGUGGGAACGUGCCUUUAGGUUCGGAAUAACUCAGGGAAACUUGUGCUAAUACCGAAUGUGCCCUUCGGGGGAAAGAUUUAUCGCCUUUAGAGCGGCCCGCGUCUGAUUAGCUAGUUGGUGAGGUAAAGGCUCACCAAGGCGACGAUCAGUAGCUGGUCUGAGAGGAUGAUCAGCCACAUUGGGACUGAGACACGGCCCAAACUCCUACGGGAGGCAGCAGUGGGGAAUCUUGCGCAAUGGGCGAAAGCCUGACGCAGCCAUGCCGCGUGAAUGAUGAAGGUCUUAGGAUUGUAAAAUUCUUUCACCGGGGACGAUAAUGACGGUACCCGGAGAAGAAGCCCCGGCUAACUUCGUGCCAGCAGCCGCGGUAAUACGAAGGGGGCUAGCGUUGCUCGGAAUUACUGGGCGUAAAGGGAGCGUAGGCGGACAUUUAAGUCAGGGGUGAAAUCCCGGGGCUCAACCUCGGAAUUGCCUUUGAUACUGGGUGUCUUGAGUAUGAGAGAGGUGUGUGGAACUCCGAGUGUAGAGGUGAAAUUCGUAGAUAUUCGGAAGAACACCAGUGGCGAAGGCGACACACUGGCUCAUUACUGACGCUGAGGCUCGAAAGCGUGGGGAGCAAACAGGAUUAGAUACCCUGGUAGUCCACGCCGUAAACGAUGAUUGCUAGUUGUCGGGAUGCAUGCAUUUCGGUGACGCAGCUAACGCAUUAAGCAAUCCGCCUGGGGAGUACGGUCGCAAGAUUAAAACUCAAAGGAAUUGACGGGGGCCCGCACAAGCG
Molecule: ribosomal RNA, 803 nt
Filed under: Brevundimonas vesicularis
Lineage: Bacteria; Pseudomonadati; Pseudomonadota; Alphaproteobacteria; Caulobacterales; Caulobacteraceae
Description: bacterial SSU rRNA
Rfam family: Bacterial small subunit ribosomal RNA
Source: RNAcentral